This is a long non-coding RNA of Planococcus citri (citrus mealybug), 889 nucleotides long. RefSeq lists it as uncharacterized. The record is from RefSeq and is a predicted model, not a curated record. The transcript is spliced from 5 exons. NCBI's taxonomy places the organism in Eukaryota, Metazoa, Arthropoda, Insecta, Hemiptera, Pseudococcidae.
UUUCGGUUUAAUUGCUCGUUAAGUAGUCUAUUCAUGCACAACUUCACACUAUCUUGAAAAUCCUCCAAAUUUUUAUGCAAACCAAUACGUCUUACUAUUCAACAAUCACAACCGAAGACUUGAUCAGACAGUUCUAAACGUCUACUUCUGAUGAGAAUUGAGAUCUAAAAUCUAACAUUUUUGUAAAUAUAAAGUUUAAUUUGCCGAAAUGCGUUUAAUUACAAUCCAGUUCACUUUUAUAGUAAUUUUUCCAUUUCUUUCACAUCCACUUCCAAGCACCGCCGCUGCGUCAAAGCAUUUACACCCAUCAAAGUCAUCAAUACCUGAAUUAAGCGAUAUUCAUCCAAAUACAUUAUUCAGAAGAGAUUGCGAGAAUGAAGUAAAAGCAAACACGCCGCGAGCUCCCAAUAGAAGAGAUGAUGAUCCAAGCAGCCAAAAGUGCAUGCUAUAUUGUGGCUUCAAAAAAAUUGGAAUGAUAUCCAACAAUGCGAACCUGAACGCGACCUUUUUACGAGUCCACAUUAAUGAAAAUAGAGAAGAUAUUUUAAAACAAAUUCGUAAAUGUGCAUCUAAAAAUAGUGGUCUAAAUAUUUGUUCUAAAGCAAUGAAAAACGCAGAUUGUGCACUUGAACAUGUCAAUCGUGAAUGGGUUGCGAUAGUGCUGAAACAAUUGAUGAAGUGAACUGAAAGUAUCAGACAGACGAUCAUGCAAGUGUUGUGUAUUUUUUUUUUUUAAAGUGAAAAGAUUUAUUACGUAGAAUUUUUAAGAACUAAAACAUGUAUCAUCUAUUACAAUCAUAGUGAAAGCACUGAUAUCGUCUGAAGUAUAAUAUGCAUAGGUAUUCUUAAAUAUUGAAGCUUUUCAUUGAAUUAAAAAAUUACAAAUUUA